GGGCCAGGCUGAAGGCUCGGCACCGGCAGAGCUGCUCGCCCAGCAGCGCCCGCGUCCGCAUGGGGCACCCGCCGCGCGCAGGGGGCUGGGGCAGCCCCGGGGACCUCCGGCGCCCCGCGCGCGCCUCCUCUCCCGCGCGCCACUUCCCGGCACCGCGCGGCCGCCCACUCGCCGGCAAUUGCAUCGCGCGGAGACUUCCUGCGCCCCAGGGCGGCAUCGCCCUGCCCUGCGCCAUGCAAAAAGCAGGUUUCGUCCCCUCCAAACUCARCCGGGAACCGGCGCCCGCCGCUUCGGGGACAGAAGUUCGAGGGAGAGCAGGGCGAGAGACGGGGGGCGGCCGGGAGAAGCCCCUGCCCGGGCUUGGGGCUCCCCACGAGCUGCACCGCAGGCAGCGGGAGAGGGCUGGAGCCACCGCGCGGCCGUGGCAGGGCUCGCCAAGGCCCCGCCGGCUUUUCCGCCCGCGCCGCUGCCGUCCCUGCUGCUUCCCUGCAGCUGUCAGCGCUGCUAAGCCUCAGGAGCAGCUUGAACCAGAAAAUAGGUCAGACGGGAUGAACGCAGCACACGGUGUGGUGCACACACACACACACACACACACAGAGCACAGCGUGCGCACAGCACGGUGCAGAGCACACACAGCGCAGCGCAUGUGCAUGCACAUACACGGCGCAGCGCAUGGUACGCGCAGCACGGUGCAGAGCACACACGCAGCACGGUGCAUGCUACAUACACAGCACGGUGCGCACGCACACAGCCUGGUGCAUGCACAUGCAGCACGGUGCAUGGCACACACAGCACAUGGCAUGCACACACACACAGCACAGUGCAUGGCGCACAGACACAGCACACAGCAUGCACACACACAGAGCAUAGUGCAUGGCAUGCACACACAGCCUGGUGCAUGCACACACACAGCACAUGGCACGCACACACACACAGCCUGGUGCAUGCACACACACACACAGCACAGUGCACAGCACACACACUGCACACAGCAUGCACACACACACAGAGCGUGGUGCACGGCACACACGCAGCAUGCAGCACGGCAGUGCCGCGUGGCAAGCGGGUGCCGCUGGGAGGGCCAGCUAGAGCAGGAGGUGUGCUGCUGCUCYGGCCCUGCAACGCCAGCAGCGACACCAGCGCUGGCCCCAGCCUCCRGCAGCUGCUGCCUGCCCCGUUUCAGCCCCGUCUCUCCCCUUCCUGCUCCGCCGCCACCUCGCACCCCCGCGCAGCCAAUGCUCCCUGCAAUGCCCCCGUGUAGCGCCCCAUGCAAUGCCCCCCAUACAAUGUCCCCUAUGCAAUACCCCCUGUAUAAUGCCCCCCCUACAAUACCCCCGUGCAAUGACCCCUGCGUAGUGCCCCCAUGCAACACUCCCUCUUGGCAGUGCCCCCCAGGCAAUGCCCCCUGCAUGACGCCCUCCUACAACACCCCCUGUGCAAUAUCCCCCGUAUAGCUCCCCUGCGCAAU
This 1468-nucleotide long non-coding RNA is filed under the name Apteryx haastii (Great spotted kiwi). RNAcentral's name for it is "lncRNA (ENSAHAG00000005428.1)". The record is from RNAcentral. Lineage: Eukaryota; Metazoa; Chordata; Aves; Apterygiformes; Apterygidae.